Molecule: ribosomal RNA, 331 nt
Filed under: uncultured soil bacterium
Lineage: Bacteria
Description: bacterial SSU rRNA
Rfam family: Bacterial small subunit ribosomal RNA
Source: RNAcentral
GUCGUACGAGGACAGUCCUUCGGGACUGAGCCGAGUGGCGGACGGGUGAGUAACACGUGACCAACCUGCCUUCGAGAGGGGAAUAACCUGGGGAAACCUGGGCUAAUGCCGCAUGAAGUGUCGAGCUCGCAUGGGCAUGACACCAAAGGGAGGCCUCUAUUUAUAAGCUUCCGCUCGAAGAGGGGGUCGCGACGUAUCAGCUAGUUGGUAGGGUAAUGGCCUACCAAGGCUACGACGCGUAGCGGGUCUGAGAGGACGACCCGUCACAUUGGGACUGAGAUACGGCCCAGACUCCUACGGGAGGCAGCAGUGGGGNNNAUUGCGCAAUGGU